CGGGAUAAUAUAUUUGAGAGGCAUCUCUUGAAUAUCAAAGGUGAGCCAGUACAGGAUGGACCCGCGUCUGAUUAGCUAGUUGGUAAGGUAACGGCUUACCAAGGCGACGAUCAGUAGCCGACCUGAGAGGGUGAUCGGCCACAUUGGAACUGAGACACGGUCCAAACUCCUACGGGAGGCAGCAGUGGGGAAUAUUGCACAAUGGGCGAAAGCCUGAUGCAGCAACGCCGCGUGAGUGAUGAAGGCCUUCGGGUCGUAAAACUCUGUCCUCAAGGAAGAUAAUGACGGUACUUGAGGAGGAAGCCCCGGCUAACUACGUGCCAGCAGCCGCGGUAAUACGUAGGGGGCUAGCGUUAUCCGGAUUUACUGGGCGUAAAGGGUGCGUAGGCGGUCUUUCAAGUCAGGAGUGAAAGGCUACGGCUCAACCGUAGUAAGCUCUUGAAACUGGGAGACUUGAGUGCAGGAGAGGAGAGUGGAAUUCCUAGUGUAGCGGUGAAAUGCGUAGAUAUUAGGAGGAACACCAGUUGCGAAGGCGGCUCUCUGGACUGUAACUGACGCUGAGGCACGAAAGCGUGGGGAGCAAACAGGAUUAGAUACCCUGGUAGUCCACGCUGUAAACGAUGAGUAC
RNAcentral lists this ribosomal RNA (628 nucleotides) under Clostridioides difficile. RNAcentral's name for it is "bacterial SSU rRNA". It matches the Rfam family "Bacterial small subunit ribosomal RNA", at positions 169 to 816 of the family's 1533-position model. The record is from RNAcentral. Lineage: Bacteria; Bacillati; Bacillota; Clostridia; Peptostreptococcales; Peptostreptococcaceae.